Molecule: ribosomal RNA, 489 nt
Filed under: Bradyrhizobium sp. dbr4
Lineage: Bacteria; Pseudomonadati; Pseudomonadota; Alphaproteobacteria; Hyphomicrobiales; Nitrobacteraceae
Description: bacterial LSU rRNA
Rfam family: Bacterial large subunit ribosomal RNA
Source: RNAcentral
CUACGCUGCGAUAAGCCGUGGGGAGCUGCGAAGAAGCUUUGAUCCGCGGAUUUCCGAAUGGGGAAACCCACCUUCGAUAGCCGGAACUCCAAAAUCUUGUGUCUUAAACGACCUUGUGGUUUUGGGGUUUGACCAGAAAUGAUCGGAACCAUGACCUCUUGAGGUUUUGGAUUUCCGGUUAUCAAGAGAAGGUAUGAGACCUCCGAAUAAAAUAGGAGGUUUUAAGCAAACCCAGGGAACUGAAACAUCUAAGUACCUGGAGGAAAGGACAUCAAUCGAGACUCCGUUAGUAGUGGCGAGCGAACGCGGACCAGGCCAGUGAUACAUCAAAGACAAUCGGAACCUGUCAGGAAAGCAGGGCCUCAGAGGGUGAUAGCCCCGUACGAGUAAUGCGAUGAUGUAUCCACGAGUAAGGCGGGACACGUGUAAUCCUGUCUGAACACGGGGGGACCACCCUCCAAGCCUAAGUACUCCUCAGCGACCGAUAGC